AGGGAAUCUUCCACAAUGGACGAAAGUCUGAUGGAGCAACGCCGCGUGAGCGAUGAAGGCCUUCGGGUCGUAAAGCUCUGUUGUUAGGGAAGAACAAGUACCGGAGUAACUGCCGGUACCUUGACGGUACCUAACCAGAAAGCCACGGCUAACUACGUGCCAGCAGCCGCGGUAAUACGUAGGUGGCAAGCGUUGUCCGGAAUUAUUGGGCGUAAAGCGCGCGCAGGCGGUCCUUUAAGUCUGAUGUGAAAGCCCACGGCUCAACCGUGGAGGGUCAUUGGAAACUGGGGGACUUGAGUGCAGAAGGGGAAAGCGGAAUUCCACGUGUAGCGGUGAAAUGCGUAGAGAUGUGGAGGAACACCAGUGGCGAAGGCGGCUUUCUGGUCUGUAACUGACGCUGAGGCGCGAAAGCGUGGGGAGCAAAC
RNAcentral lists this ribosomal RNA (425 nucleotides) under uncultured bacterium. Its description in RNAcentral is "bacterial SSU rRNA". It matches the Rfam family "Bacterial small subunit ribosomal RNA", at positions 356 to 773 of the family's 1533-position model. The record is from RNAcentral.